This 86-nucleotide small nucleolar RNA is filed under the name Medicago truncatula (barrel medic). Its description in RNAcentral is "snoRNA gene3034". It matches the Rfam family "Small nucleolar RNA Z161/Z228". Rfam says of the family: Z161 and Z228 are members of the C/D class of snoRNA which contain the C (UGAUGA) and D (CUGA) box motifs. Most of the members of the box C/D family function in directing site-specific 2'-O-methylation of substrate RNAs. The record is from Rfam by way of RNAcentral. Lineage: Eukaryota; Viridiplantae; Streptophyta; Magnoliopsida; Fabales; Fabaceae.
AAACCAUAUGAUGAAUUUGGAUUUUCAAUACUCACGACGGUCGUCUGAGAUUCACUUGAUGCAUUAAUCCUAUAUUUCUGAUGGUU